CAGAGGGUAGUUUAAUGUAGAGCGCGGGCUUUGGGAGCCGGCGGCGGGAGUUUGAACCUCUCCUCUCUGA
RNAcentral lists this transfer RNA (70 nucleotides) under Acentronura tentaculata. Its description in RNAcentral is "tRNA-Pro". It matches the Rfam family "tRNA". From Rfam's summary of the family: Transfer RNA (tRNA) molecules are approximately 80 nucleotides in length. Their secondary structure includes four short double-helical elements and three loops (D, anti-codon, and T loops). Lineage: Eukaryota; Metazoa; Chordata; Actinopteri; Syngnathiformes; Syngnathidae. The record is from RNAcentral.